AAGUAAAAGUCGUAACAAGGUUUCCGUAGGUGAACCUGCGGAAGGAUCAUUAUUGAAAUAAAUCUGAUGAGUUGCUGCUGGUUCUUUAGGGAGCAUGUGCACACUCGUCGUCUUCAUAUCUCCACCUGUGCACUUUUUGUAGACCUGGAUAUCUCUCUGAAUGCUAGUCACUCAGGUUUGGGGAUUGACUUCAUCAUGUCUCUCCUUACACUUCCGGGCCUAUGUUUAUUCAUAUACUCCGUCGUACAAUGUAACCAAAUGGCCUUUAUGCCUAUAAAUCUAUACAACUUUCAGCAACGGAUCUCUUGGCUCUCGCAUCGAUGAAGAACGCAGCGAAAUGCGAUAAGUAAUGUGAAUUGCAGAAUUCAGUGAAUCAUCGAAUCUUUGAACGCACCUUGCGCUCCUUGGUAUUCCGAGGAGCAUGCCUGUUUGAGUGUCAUUAUAAUAUCGAUCUCUUCAGCUUUUGUUUGUUGAGUAUUGGAUGUGGAGGUCUUUUGCUGGCCUUCCCAGGUCAGCUCCUCUGAAAUAUAUUAGCUGAGCAAUUGUGGAUCGCUCAUUGGUGUGAUAACUAUCUACGCUAUCGACGUGAAACAGCUUAGCUUCUAACAGUCCAAUUGAUGUGGACUCAUUCUUCAUUAAUGUGACCUCAAAUCAGGUAGGACUACCCGCUGAACUUAAGCAUAUCAAUAAGCGGAGGAAAGGAAACUAACAAGGAUUCCCCUAGUAACUGCGAGUGAAGCGGGAAAAGCUCAAAUUUAAAAUCUGUCAGUUUUUGACUGUCCGAGUUGUAAUCUAGAGAAGUGUUAUCUGCGCUGGACCGUGUACAAGUCUCCUGGAAUGGAGCGUCAUAGAGGGUGAGAAUCCCGUCUUUGACACGGACUGCCAGGGCUUUGUGAUACGCUCUCAAAGAGUCGAGUUGUUUGGGAAUGCAGCUCAAAAUGGGUGGUAAAUUCCAUCUAAAGCUAAAUAUUGGCGAGAGACCGAUAGUGAACAAGUACCGUGAGGGAAAGAUGAAAAGAACUUUGGAAAGAGAGUUAAACAGUACGUGAAAUUGCUGAAAGGGAAACGCUUGAAGUCAGUCGCGUUGUCCAGGGAUCAACCUUGCUGUUGCUUGGUGUACUCUCUGGUUGGACGGGUCAGCAUCAAUUUUGACUGUUGGAAAAAGGUCAAGGGAAUGUGGCAUCUUCGGAUGUGUUAUAGCCCAUGGUUGUAUACAAUGGUUGGGAUU
Molecule: ribosomal RNA, 1228 nt
Filed under: Phlegmacium albofragrans
Lineage: Eukaryota; Fungi; Basidiomycota; Agaricomycetes; Agaricales; Cortinariaceae
Description: eukaryotic LSU rRNA
Rfam family: Eukaryotic large subunit ribosomal RNA (bases 642-1228)
Source: RNAcentral